This 39-nucleotide transfer RNA is filed under the name Musa acuminata subsp. siamea. Its description in RNAcentral is "partial tRNA-Phe". Lineage: Eukaryota; Viridiplantae; Streptophyta; Magnoliopsida; Zingiberales; Musaceae. The record is from RNAcentral.
CUCUACUAGGAUGAUGCACGGGAAAUGGUCGGGAUAGCU